AUAUGUCAGUUCCCACAUCAAUUUCUUACCAUGAUGUAUAGUUUACUCCUCCCAGGUCUGGCUGGCAUUUCACACUCUUAUUGCAUGACUCACUUUGAGAGUGGAAGCUCUUCAUUGGUUUAGAAGAAUAACAGAAUGCAAAUGUCUUAAAUGCUUUUUUCUGUUAAGUGUUUAUCCUUAACUCUUAACUGGAUUGUCCUUCUGCCUUCGAAGGUUGCAGAGGUGAAUUCGAACCUAAAACUUCUUGAGUUUACCUGCUGCACGCAGUGGAGACUUAGAGUAGCAGUUCUGGCUAACCUUUCCCUUUGUCU
This is a long non-coding RNA of Pezoporus flaviventris, 311 nucleotides long. RefSeq lists it as uncharacterized. Lineage: Eukaryota; Metazoa; Chordata; Aves; Psittaciformes; Psittacidae. The record is from RefSeq and is a predicted model, not a curated record. The transcript has 2 exons.